CCAGGUGCCCCAUUCCACCCUGAAAGCGCCCAAUCUCUUCUGAUCUCAGAAGCUAAGCAGAGUCAGGCCUGGUUAGUACUUGGAUGGGAAACCCUUUGUUUUGAAUGCAGUAAUAGUUAAUCUGGC
Ribosomal RNA from Mustela putorius furo (domestic ferret), 126 nucleotides. NCBI's taxonomy places the organism in Eukaryota, Metazoa, Chordata, Mammalia, Carnivora, Mustelidae. The record is from Ensembl.